CCCAAGGCUGGCGCCCUUGGCUAAGUUAUGCCGUACCUUCGGCACU
RNAcentral lists this small RNA (46 nucleotides) under Lentisphaera araneosa HTCC2155. RNAcentral's name for it is "Acido-Lenti-1 RNA". It matches the Rfam family "Acido-Lenti-1 RNA". The record is from Rfam by way of RNAcentral. Lineage: Bacteria; Pseudomonadati; Lentisphaerota; Lentisphaeria; Lentisphaerales; Lentisphaeraceae.